This 497-nucleotide ribosomal RNA is filed under the name Tetracha fulgida. RNAcentral's name for it is "bacterial SSU rRNA". The stretch from base 174 to 497 matches the Rfam family "Eukaryotic small subunit ribosomal RNA", at positions 620 to 927 of the family's 1831-position model. The record is from RNAcentral. Lineage: Eukaryota; Metazoa; Arthropoda; Insecta; Coleoptera; Carabidae.
UCGUAGUUGAAUUUGUGUCUUGCGCUGUCGGUUCAUCGCUUGAAUGCGGUGUUUAACUGGCAUGUUGUGAGACGUCUUGCCGGAAGGGCAUGGUAUAUAUUUUAUUAUGUUAUUUUAAUUAAUGUAUAUGUUGUGUUAAAAAUAUUAAUAUAAUGUAUUGUUGAGUGGUUGUGUAAAAACUCCGCUCACUUACAUUUUUAUUAUAUUAUAUAAGCUCAUAUAUCAUUAUUAAGAUACUAAUAAUAAUGUAUACGUAGUCCGACUUAUUUAAUCCUGUCUAGGUGCUCUUAAUUGAGUGUCGUGGCGGGCCGGCACGUUUACUUUGAACAAAUUAGAGUGCUUAAAGCAGGCUUAUGUUGCCUGAAUAUAGUGUGCAUGGAAUAAUGAAACAGGACCUCGGUUCUAUUUUGUUGGUUUUCUGAACUAACGAGGUAAUGAUUAAUAGGGACAGAUGGGGGCAUUCGUAUUGCGACGUUAGAGGUGAAAUUCUUGGAUCG